AAUGGAAUAGGAAUAUCUGGUACUGUUAGAUGUAGCAGAAGUAAAUAUGCCUGUGGGGGGAGGGGUUGACUUUAAUAUGAUUUUUUUUUUUUUUUUUUUUUGGGCUCAGGAGCAGGCUGGCUUUGAUCGCAGGGGAUCUGAGUGUGAAUCCUCUUCCAUCACAAUGUUCCUGUGUGGCUCUGCGCAGGGCACCUCACCUGUCUCAGCCUCACACCCUUCUACCCACCAAGGAUGGAGACAGGUUGAGAGGAUUGCUAAUCAAAACACCGAAAAUGCUCCACAAUCUGAAACUUCCUGAGCACUGACGUGACAUCAUAAGUGGAAAACUCUGUACCUGACCUCAGCUGACGCAUUGUGAUCUAUACACCGGUGCACGAAAAAUACUGCAUGAAGUUAUUUCGGGGCUACGUGCAACAGGUGCAGACGAUACAAAAAUGAGUUUUGUCUUUAGACUCGGGUCCCAAAUAUUUCCAAAUGUGAUGAAAGCCCACAUCCCAAACAUUUCUGGCCCCAAGCACUUCAGACAAAGGACACUCAAGCGGAACCCUAGUCCCAUCCCCAUGUGUUAUAUACGUGUGGUCCCAAUUUGCCACCUGUCCCACUGACCUCUCCCCCUGCUCCUGAGUCGGGCCACACUGCCUUCAUCAUUACACUGUGAUGUCAUGAUGUCAUGAUGACACAGCAGGGCCUGUGAGCUGGAGAGCGAGGCUGUCCACGUUCUCUCUCUUUCUGGAAUUGCUGCCCUACACAGAAGCCACGUCCCUGGGGUAGAGCAUCGGCCCCUUUCUUAGUCUCUGCCAGGCCCUUUCCUGAUCUUGCUCUCAGAGUCUCAUCUCUUGCAGCUCCUUCCGUGCCUUCUGCACUGUCCAUUCCGGAGGCUUCCAGAGUUAGCGGACCUCUCAGGGGCCAGGUUUCCCUGCCUAUGGGAUGGGCCCAGCAGACAGGACGCUCGGAGCAUCACUGCGGAGGAAGGGAACCAUUCAUGAGGAGGGCCCGCUUUAUGCUAGGAGAGGGACAGGAGAGGGCAAACAGCACAGCACCGUAAAUCGAAACUUCCCAGCUACACCCUGCAGCGACCCCCGAAGCGGGCAGAAUAAUUAAUUUUCCAAAGUCUUCAUUUAGAAAGGCAUUGACUCCUCAAUUGAAUUCCAUUUAUCCCCAAGUAGGAGAGGCCAUGCUCUAAGAAAACUCAAUAAAUGAAAACUACAACUCACUCACAGAUACCUUGGUGAGACUCUCUGCUUGAAUUUUAAAGACUCUGCCUCAGACAUUGGACCCACCGAUCGUGUUUCUAGAAGCACGUUCGUUUUGUAGCGAGGUUCCUGUAGCAUCCGUCCUGAGAACCCUUAGCAGAAGGGGUGUCUCCAGUUCAUCAGAAUUACCAAGCGACUUUCCGCCCUCCUAAACCAGCAGCUACUCAAUGAAUGAGACUUUCCUGCCGCUGCCUUCUUCCUGGCUCGACCUCACCCCAGGGAUCUCUCCGCAGGAGCUUUCCAGAAUCUCCCAACUCCAGCGCCAAGGGUCUGGGUGGGGUGAAUGCGGCUCCUCCCUACCCCCAGAGGACCUCGCAGAACAAUGGAGAGCAGGGAUCCAGCGCUGGGCUGGCGUGGUGACGCCCUGAAUGCAGAGCGGAGAUGCUGCCCUGGCCCCAGCCCUGCCCUUGCAGGUCAGACCGAUGGAGCCAUUUAGUGAUCAGGGGCAGGGGCUGGCGUGGGAUUCGAGCCAAGAGAUGAUGUGGAGAGGCAG
RNAcentral lists this long non-coding RNA (1746 nucleotides) under Chinchilla lanigera (long-tailed chinchilla). Its description in RNAcentral is "lncRNA (ENSCLAG00000028056.1)". Lineage: Eukaryota; Metazoa; Chordata; Mammalia; Rodentia; Chinchillidae. The record is from RNAcentral.